GGAUGGAUCAAGUCCAAAUAAGAAUCUUGUUAGAAUCUUUCCAUUUCUUCCACCAUGAAAUAGAAUGAAAUAAUGCCAUUUGCAGCAACAUGAAUGGACCAAGAGAUUAUCAAGGGACAGGCUCUCAUGCGAGAUCCAUAUCUGCCUCUGCCUUCCACAAACACUGCAUUUUCGCUUCCUGGCCCUGUAAUCAACUUGGCUGAAACACAGCUACUGCCCAAUCUGAGUUAAACUUUGCUCCCAGAAAGAGACAAGAUACACUGCUUGCUGAAAAUUGAUUUCUAAGGAGAAAAAUAUAAAUCUCAAGAACAUUAAACAACUGAAAUGUUCAAGAUAUAUGGAAAC
Molecule: non-coding RNA, 345 nt
Organism: Delphinapterus leucas (beluga whale)
Lineage: Eukaryota; Metazoa; Chordata; Mammalia; Artiodactyla; Monodontidae
Source: RefSeq, a predicted model, not a curated record